UAUAAUACAGCCGAGCUCCACUCGUCGUCACUCCAUCCUCAUCUCGCCGGCCGCCGCGACCGCGAGGAAACCUCCGCGUCCGCGACGCCAAGAAUAAUGUCGAACACUUAUCUCCUCCUCCAUGCCCUCCUCCCCCUCCUCCUCCUCGCCGGUGGAUCCGCCGCGGCCGGCGACCGCGACACGCUCGUGGCUCUCAGGAAGGCGUGGGGGAACCCCCCGAAGCUCGCCUCGUGGGACCCCGCCACGGCGGCGACCGACCACUGCAGCUGGCAGGGGGUGACGUGCUCUGAUGGUACCGGCGGUGGCGGGAGGGCGGUGACGGAGCUGUCCCUGCGCGACAUGAACCUUACCGGGACGGUGCCGGCGGCGGUGUGCGACCUCCCGAGCCUGACGCGGCUCGACCUCUCCGGCAACAACCUCUCCGGCGCCUUCCCCGCCGCGGCGCUGUACCGGUGCUCCAGGCUCCUGUUCCUCGACCUCGCCGAAAACUCGUUCGACGGCGCCCUCCCGCGCGACAUUGGCCGGCUUUCGCCGGCGAUGGAGCACCUCAACCUGUCGUCGAACAGCUUCGGCGGCGAGGUGCCGCCCGCGGUGGCGGCGCUCCCGGCGCUCAAGUCGCUGCUCCUCGACACCAACCAGUUCACCGGCGCGUACCCGGCGGCGGAGAUAGGCAACCUCACCUCCCUCGAGCACCUCACGCUGGCCGCCAACGCGUUCGCGCCGGCGCCGGUGCCGCGGGCGUUCGCCAAGCUCACCAAUCUCACCUAUCUUUGGAUGAGCAAGAUGAACAUGACCGGCGGGAUUCCGGAGGAGUUCUCCAGCCUCACGGAGCUGACGCUGUUCGACUUGUCGUCGAACAAGCUCAGCGGCGCCAUUCCGGCGUGGGUGUGGCGGCACCAGAAGCUCGAGUACCUCUACCUGUUCAACAACGAACUCACCGGCGAGCUGCCACGCAACGUCACGGCGGUGAAUCUGGUCGAGAUCGACUUGUCGACGAACCAGCUCGGUGGCGAGAUGCCGGAGGAUUUCGGCAACCUCAACAACCUCACUUUGCUGUUCCUUUACUUCAACCAGCUCACCGGCACGAUUCCGGCGGGCAUUGGGCUGCUCCCGAAGCUCAACGACAUCCGGCUGUUCAACAACCACCUCACCGGCGAGCUCCCGCCGGAGCUCGGGAAGCACUCGCCGGUCGGCAACAUCGAGAUCUCCAACAACAACCUCUCCGGCCGGCUCCCCGAGACGCUCUGCGCCAACGGGAAGCUCUUCGACAUUGUGGCCUUCAACAACAGUUUCUCCGGCGAGCUCCCGGCGAACCUCGGCGACUGCGUCCUGAUGAACAACCUCAUGCUCUACAACAACCGCUUCUCCGGCGACUUCCCGGAGAAGAUCUGGUCGUUCAAGAAGCUGACCACGGUGAUGAUCCAGAACAACAGCUUCACCGGAGCUCUGCCUGCCGUGAUAUCGCCCAACAUCUCGCGGAUCGAGAUGGGGAACAACAUGUUCUCCGGCUCUAUCCCGGCCUCGGCGAUCAAGCUAACCGUGUUCAAGGCGGAGAACAACCAGCUCGCCGGCGAGCUCCCGGCCGAUAUGAGCAAACUCACCGACCUCACUGAUCUGUCGGUGCCUGGUAAUCGAAUAGCUGGCUCCAUACCUGUGUCGAUCAAGCUGCUUGUGAAGCUCAAUUCGCUCAACCUGAGCGGCAACCGGAUCGCCGGCGUGAUACCGCCGGCGAGCAUAGGCACUCUCCCGGCGCUGACCAUCCUCGAUUUGUCCGGCAACCAGCUCACCGGCGACAUCCCCGCCGACCUGGGGAACCUCAACUUCAACUCGCUCAACGUGUCAUCGAACCAGCUCGCCGGCGAGGUGCCGCUCGCGCUGCAGGGCGCGGCGUACGACCGCAGCUUCCUCGGCACGCAUCUCUGCGCCAGGUCGGGCUCCGGCACGAAGCUCCCGACAUGCCCCGGCGGCGGCGGCAGCGGCGGAGGCGGCCACGACGAGCUCUCGAAGGGCCUGAUCAUCCUCUUCUCGAUGCUCGCCGGCAUUGUGCUCGUCGGCAGCGCUGGCAUCGCGUGGCUGCUCCUCCGCCGCCGCAAGGACAGCCAGGACGUGACCGACUGGAAGAUGACGCAGUUCACCCCUCUCGACUUCACCGAGUCCGACGUGCUCAGCAACAUCAAGGAGGAGAACGUCAUCGGCAGCGGCGGGUCAGGCAAGGUGUACCGCAUCCACCUCGCCUCCCGCGGCGGCGCCGGCGCCGGCAGGACAGUGGCCGUGAAGAAGAUAUGGAAUUCGAGGAAGCUGGACGCGAAGCUGGACAAGGAGUUCGAGGCGGAGGUGACGGUGCUCGGCAACAUCCGGCACAACAACAUCGUCAAGCUCCUCUGCUGCAUCUCCAGCCAGGACGCCAAGCUGCUGGUCUACGAGUACAUGGAGCACGGCAGCCUCGACCGGUGGCUGCACCACCGCGACCGCGAGGGCGCGCCGGCGCCGCUGGACUGGCCGACGAGGCUGGCCAUCGCCAUCGACGCCGCCCGGGGGCUCAGCUACAUGCACCACGACUGCGCGCAGGCCAUCGUCCACCGCGACGUCAAGUCCAGCAACAUCCUCCUCGACCCGGAGUUCCAGGCCAAGAUCGCCGACUUCGGCCUCGCCCGUAUGCUCGUCAAGUCCGGCGAGCCCGAGUCCGUCUCCGCCAUCGGCGGCACGUUCGGCUACAUGGCGCCAGAGUAUGGGUACAGCAAGAAGGUGAAUGAGAAGGUGGACGUGUACAGCUUCGGCGUGGUGCUGCUGGAGCUGACGACCGGCAAGGUCGCGAACGACGCCGGCGCCGACUUCUGCUUGGCGGAGUGGGCGUGGCGGCGGUACCAGAAGGGGCCCCCGUUCGACGACGCCGUCGACGAGAACAUCCGGGAACAGGCCAGCCUGCCUGACGUCAUGUCGGUGUUCACGCUCGGCGUGAUCUGCACGGGGGAGAACCCGCCGGCGAGGCCGUCCAUGAAGGAUGUCCUGCACCACCUCCUCCGGUGCGACCGGAUGUCCGCCCAGGGACCUGAGCAGCUGUGCCAGCUCGACUACGUCGACGGCGCCGCGCCGCUUCUGGAGGCGAAGAAAGGCAGCCGACGGAGGAGCUCGGCGUCGUCCGGCAGGUGGGACGCCGGCGGCGGCGACGACGACGACAGCGGCAACUUCGUGGUGCACGUUGUUUAGGGAAGAGGAUCGAGUGAUAUUGUCACUGACAUCGUUGUUUAGGAGGUCCGAAUGCCAGUGUACAGUAGCACUGUAGAGUACAUAAGUAGAGCUCAUCUACAAUGGAGGAGUCCUUUGCAGAGCAGUUUUGUCUGGUGACCUGGAUGACAAGCAGAAAACAUGAGCCCUUCAGAUCUCAGGUUGCAGCAGUGAAGGGACUGUUUGGUUCGAUGCCACAGUUUUAUUCAAUUGAGCAUGUACUUGAUAGACAAGUUUUGAGCAUGAUGAGCAACUGACCACAUCACCUAGUGAUGGAGGACCAAACUGGUCACAGGUAAAUUUGCAGCUUCAAGGUAGCACUUGUCAGCAAGAAUGUAACUGUGGAAGUUGCUUUUCUGAAACUUUGGGCUUCAAGCUAGUCGGAAGUUCUGCAGAAACCUGGAGAAGUUUCAGUCUUUGGAAUGGACACCAAAAAACGGGCGGCUGGACACUAGCGCUGCUGCUGCUGCUGCACGGGGAAUGAUUGUGCAUGACACAGGGAGGAAGCAAACUUGUGGUGUGAUUCGUUGUGACAAGGUGAAGUGAAGGUUUUGUCAAAGUGGGGGCAGGUUGGUAUGCAGAAAGGAACAAAUCCAUUAGUUGGAAUCAACUGAACAUUCUGAAGAAACAGUGGGAAGGAGCAUGACUAUCAGUGUGCAGAUCGUCAACAUGCUUUGGACCUAUCUCAUGCAGAUGCAGCCAUACUGGCAUCCGUUCGGUGGCCAACCAUAAUCACAAAACGUGACCUGAAUGCGAUAUUGUACAGGUUUAUGAAUGAUUACUUACUGUUCCUGUCAUGGGCAUUCGGCCAAGAGGCGAAGGCCCAGAUGCCCACAGCCUGGAGGACCAACAGUAGCAUGGAUACUGUAGCAGUAGGAUAAUUGUUGAGUUAGAAUUAAGAGAUAAGAUUGACUUAGUGGCUGGUUGGAUCUGGUGACAUUUUUAGUCCCUUUAACAUCGGAUGUUUGGAUGUUAAUUAGGAAUAUUAAAUAUAGACCGAUAACA
Molecule: RNA transcript, 4230 nt
Organism: Oryza brachyantha (malo sina)
Lineage: Eukaryota; Viridiplantae; Streptophyta; Magnoliopsida; Poales; Poaceae
Gene name: receptor-like protein kinase 5
Exons: 3
Source: RefSeq, a predicted model, not a curated record